This 497-nucleotide ribosomal RNA is filed under the name uncultured bacterium. RNAcentral describes it as "partial 16S ribosomal RNA". It matches the Rfam family "Bacterial small subunit ribosomal RNA", at positions 28 to 507 of the family's 1533-position model. The record is from RNAcentral.
GAUGAACGCUGGCGGCGUGCCUAAUACAUGCAAGUCGAGCGAACGGACGAGAAGCUUGCUUCUCUGAUGUUAGCGGCGGACGGGUGAGUAACACGUGGAUAACCUACCUAUAAGACUGGGAUAACUUCGGGAAACCGUAGCUAAUACCGGAUAAUAUUUUGAACCGCAUGGUUCAAAAGUGAAAGACGGUCUUGCUGUCACUUAUAGAUGGAUCCGCGCUGCAUUAGCUAGUUGGUAAGGUAACGGCUUACCAAGGCAACGAUGCAUAGCCGACCUGAGAGGGUGAUCGGCCACAUGGGAACUGAGACACGGUCCCGACUCCGACGGGAGGCAGCAGUAGGGAAUCUUCCGCAAUGGGGGAAAGCCUGACGGAGCAACGCCGCGUGAGGGAUGAAGGUCUUCGGAUCGUAAAACUCUGUUAUUAGGGAAGAACAUAUGUGUAAGUAACUGUGCACAUCUUGACGGUACCUAAUCAGAAAGCCACGGCUAACUACGUG